This 1306-nucleotide ribosomal RNA is filed under the name Verticillium dahliae. RNAcentral's name for it is "eukaryotic LSU rRNA". It matches the Rfam family "Eukaryotic large subunit ribosomal RNA", at positions 70 to 1403 of the family's 3401-position model. The record is from RNAcentral. Lineage: Eukaryota; Fungi; Ascomycota; Sordariomycetes; Glomerellales; Plectosphaerellaceae.
AGGGAUUGCCUUAGUAACGGCGAGUGAAGCGGCAACAGCUCAAAUUUGAAAUCUGGCUCCUUCGGGGUCCGAGUUGUAAUUUGUAGAGGAUGCUUCGAGUUAUGGUUCCUUCCGAGUUCCCUGGAACGGGACGCCAUAGAGGGUGAGAGCCCCGUCUGGUAGGAAACCAUGCUCAUGUGAAGCUCCCUCGACGAGUCGAGUAGUUUGGGAAUGCUGCUCUAAAUGGGAGGUAUACUCCUUCCAAGGCUAAAUACCGGUUAGAGACCGAUAGCGCACAAGUAGAGUGAUCGAAAGAUGAAAAGCACUUUGAAAAGAGAGUCAAACAGCACGUGAAAUUGUUAAAAGGGAAGCGCUCGCUACCAGACGUGGGUUCGGUGGUUCAACCAGGUCCAUGACCUGGGGCACUCCGCCGGCCCAGGCCAGCAUCAGUUUCCGUCGGGGGCAAAGGCGUCGGGAAUGUGGCUCUCCUUCGGGGGAGUGUUAUAGCCCGUCGCGUCAUACCCUUCGGGGGGCUGAGGUACGCGCUCCGCAAGGAUGCUGGCGUAAUGGUAGCUAGUGACCCGUCUUGAAACACGGACCAAGGAGUCAACCUUAUGUGCGAGUGCCCGGGCGUAAAACCCCAGCGCGGAAUGAAAGUGAACGUAGGUGAGAGCUUCGGCGCAUCACCGACCGAUCCUGAUGUCCUCGGACGGAUUUGAGUGAGAGCAUAUAGGGUUGGACCCGAAAGAAGAUGAACUAUGCGUGUGUAGGGUGAAGCCAGAGGAAACUCUGGUGGAGGCUCGCAGCGGUUCUGACGUGCAAAUCGAUCGUCAAACAUGGCAUGGGGGCGAAAGACUAAUCGAAUCUUCUGGUAGCUGGUUUCCGCCGAAGUUUCCCUCAGGAUAGCAGUGUUGAUCCCAGUUUUAUGAGGUAAAGCGAAUGAUUAGGGACUCGGGGGCGCUAUUUAGCCUUCAUCCAUUCUCAAACUUUAAAUAUGUAAGAAGUCCCCGUUACUUUAUUGAACGCGGACGCUGGAAUGAAACAACACUAGUGGGCCAUUUUUGGUAAGCAGAACUGGCGAUGCGGGAUGAACCGAACGCGAGGUUAAGGUGCCGGAGUGGACGCUCAUCAGACACCACAAAAGGUGUUAGUACAUCUUGACAGCAGGACGGUGGCCAUGGAAGUCGGAAUCCGCUAAGGACUGUGUAACAACUCACCUGCCGAAUGUACUAGCCCUGAAAAUGGAUGGCGCUCAAGCGUCCCACCCAUACCUCGCCCUCGGCGCGGGCUCGGCGCGUCGAGGAGUAGGCGGACGUGGAGGUCGGUG